CAGAGGUUGGCAAACUCUUUCUAUAAAGGUCCAGAGAGUAAAUUCGUUUGUUUUUGCAGGACAUGAGGUCUUUGUUGAAAUUUCUCAACACCAGUGCUGUAAAUUGAAGUCAGCUGCAGGAGACGUGUCUCUCCAUGGGUAUGGCUGCUGUCCUGUAAAACUCCACUUACAAAGUCCUGACCGCCAGGAACGUUGGUCAAAGAGCAGUGUAAUUUUGAUUAAAUACGUCUUCAGUGUUUGACUCACUGCAAAGCCUAGCCUCCCUAUCGAGAAGCAGUCGAGGUGCUGCGAUGUAGCUCCCAUGUUGAAAAACGAUCUCCGACCAGCUCUGAGACAAGGAACACCUCUGGUUUGGGGUCAGUUCUGUUCCUUCAUGGUGGUGAUCUGCUGAACUGGGCACUGUAAGCCCCAACUCCUCUUGUGAAUAAAUUCUGUUCAACUCCUUGUGAAUAAGGUUGACUGUAAAUGGAGUUUCUACAAGUUGCUUCCGUGAUUGGUGCAGACUGGCAAUGGACGAGAAUGCUGAAGGCAAUGGGGCUGUGUACACCCAUCAAAGCUGCAGGGCCUUUGCACUUCCCAGCCUAGAGG
Molecule: long non-coding RNA, 588 nt
Organism: Sapajus apella (tufted capuchin)
Lineage: Eukaryota; Metazoa; Chordata; Mammalia; Primates; Cebidae
Exons: 4
Source: RefSeq, a predicted model, not a curated record